GGAAGAAGCACCAUGUGCUCAGAGGCACAGAGCAUGGUUUCUUGACCUGGGUUGAGAAGUGCUGUGAGGCCCCUGAAGAUGCCAUACCAGAGAGAACUGACUAGAUAACACUUAGCUAGCUGGUGCCAGGGUUACAAACUGUUCUAGAAAGGCCAUAAUGAGUCUCGAGAAAGGAAAAGCUGGAGCAGAGAACGGGAGAGUGUCCAGGGAUGAUGAUGAAUGGCCAGGAGCUACAGAAAGACUCUGUAAGCCAUCUAAAGAAGUCUUCCUUCUCCCUGAAGACAGAGGACAGGUAUGCAAAGGACUGAUUGGCACUAACAUGAUUAGAUUGCUGGCCCCACUGUGGAGAAAAUACUCUUUGGAAAAGAUCGAGGAGAGGUAAAGAAAUGUGAAAAUGCUCUGGUUGUGAUGGUGGAGUCCUUUAACCCCAGCACUCAGGAGGCAGAGGCAGGUG
Molecule: long non-coding RNA, 454 nt
Filed under: Rattus norvegicus (Norway rat)
Lineage: Eukaryota; Metazoa; Chordata; Mammalia; Rodentia; Muridae
Description: long non-coding RNA NONRATT032683
Source: RNAcentral